AGCAGCGAGACCCAAGACCAACAGCAGCGAAGGAAGACCAUCAACGCCGGCCCCCAGCGGUGGCAGCAGCAGCAGCAUCGCCCACAGGCGCGGAGUAGUCCGCCUUCUCCCUCCGGUGGCGCCUGCAGUUUCGGUUUCCUCAACUCUCUCCUCCUGAACCAGCGGCCAGCUCGCCGCCUCUAGCAGCAACACCACUCUCUCGUCUGUUCCUCCUUGCCGCUCCAGCACAUGGAGCAGAGGAGAAGAAGAGGAUGACCGAAGGAGACCGAUCUGCAGUGAAGCAGAUCCAAAGAACCCGAACGAACCAGAUUUGAAAAGGGGAAAGGAAGGGAAGCCGAUCUGAAAACAAGAUUAAAACAGACUUGCUUGUUGCGUUUUGUUGUUUUGCAGGUAACGGCGUUGUCGCCGCCGGCAAGGAAGAGAAGAGGGGAGAAAGCCAUUUCUGGCCCCCCUGUUUCUGGUUUGAUUUCACGGCGGCGCGUGGACCCACGCGCCGCCAGCGGCGGUGGUGCGUGAGAUCCACGCGCCGCCACUGUCCUUGCUGUUCCAGAGGUCUUCACAGCACUAUUCCAGCGACUCAGAGGUUACCAGCACUGUCCCGGAUUGUUUUGGGUCAUUUUUUGGAAUUUUAGAAUUGUUUAAUGUUAUAUUUGUGUAAUUUUGAGUUUUUCUUUUCAUAGUUUGUAUUUUAUAUUUUAUGUAAAUGUGGAUGUAGAAGAAAAGAAAGAAAAGAAAAGAAAAAGAAAUGUUUGUGUGUGUUUGUUUUUUUUUUAUUUAUAUUAUUGAAUUAAAAAAAAAAAAGGACAAAAAGAAUUAAUUGUUAAUUUAAAUAUGCACAAAUAUCUAAAGGACAGAUAAAAAUCAUGUUGUAUUUCCCAUAAAAAUGUAGAACAUGUAUCUACAUAUAUUUUGGGAAUGAAUAACUGAUUUAUCAAAGCCUUAGAAUUGGGCUAAAAUUUUAUUUUUAAAAUGCAUCAAGUCCACGAAGCAGCUUACCUCAGGUAGGGUGUGUUAGGGGUGCUAAUACCUUCCCUAACCACAACCAGUCCCUUACCCAUGAAUCUCUGACAAGACCAGUAUAUCCGGUUUCCUAGUAGCCCGCAAUUAAUUACUAGGUGGCGACUCCAACGAACCAAGUAAAACGAACAACGAUAAAAUCGCCAGCCGAUGCCGCGCGGAUUUUUUUGACGUGCGACAGAAUGGCGACUCCGCUGGGGAAGGUAUUGUUUCUGACGAUAUUGGACUAAGCUUUGUGUAUUUGAUGUGUUUAUGUUUUUGCAUUUUUGUCUUGUUUUAUUUUUGUUUUAUUCAUGCAUUUUGUAGAAUUGUCUCAUGCAUCACAUAUUUUGAUUUUUCAAAGCACACACAAGCUUCAGGUUAGGAGGGGGACUAGCAGCUUACCUUAUGACUUUUAGUCAAGGUUUAAGUUUGUGUAAACCCCAACUCUUUGUUGAGUGCUUAGACUGGUAAUAGUUGGACAUGUGCCAUCUCAUUGCCUACAAGCCCCCAUAUUGCCUCCACGAGGGCAAUCACUGGGACAACAAGAGACCCUUUUUAGAGACCAAGUAGUAAACCUAUCUUUUGUCUCACUUAAAAAGAUUAGAACCUGCCUUUAGGAUGUGUGCUCCGUAUAUAUUGUUUUGCAUCAGGGCAAACCCUUCUUGAAGCAUCUUGAACUCAAGACUUUUGGGUGACCCAAUGGCCGUCACUCAGAAAAUUUUCAUUGUAGAGUUUGGGCAAGAAUCAAGAUUCUUGUUUCAUCAUACAAGAGUUACGACCAUAUGUCACCCCUCGAAGGGCGAGUUCUUCAUAUAGUUUACAUGUUCAUACAUUUAUCAUGCAUGUACCGGGAGGAAAAAUAGGUUCCCCCAUCCGAGCUUUGCUACACCUGAUUGAACAAAGAUGAUGAGAAAUGAAGAAAGGAGUCAAAGAGAAGCUCAUUAUCAAAGGGGAGUUGAGAGCAUCAAAGUAGCUAGACUCAGAUCUCCCUAAACAAGUGUUAAGCAUCAAAUGGAAAGAGAAUGUCUGCACAAUCUUCUGUGGAAACACUGCUUGUCCACGUCCAAGUGAAGCUGCACCUCUCCAUUUCAGUCCUGAACAACAACAGCAAUGCCUUCAGUCAUCAACUAAUGACAACUCUGUUCUUGUUCAGUUGCCCUGUUAAUUGUUCAUCGCCUCCACAUCUUUCAAUGGCACCAAAUAAUUGCUAGCCUUCUGUGCAUGAUGCAUUAGCCUUCUUUGAGGUUACCCUCACUGUGAGCUUAAUUCCAGUUCAAAAAAAAACAAAAAACAAAAAAAAAACAAAAAAAACCAUGAUUAGACACUGAACUUCAAUGUGGCAGAGCUCUCUCUACAAAAAUCUGUUUAUGGCUCUGCAAGUUGGGAAUGCAAGAGGGGAUUUAUAAGUUGCAUAUGCUAUAAAAAUCUCUCAUCAGUUUCAGCACAAAAACACUACAGUAGGUUGAAGAGCCAGACAUGGUCUGAAAAACAUGAACAAACACCAAACUUCUACGUUGCAGAGCUCUCUCUGUAGAGAUUGUUUUGGGGAUCUGCCAGUGGGGAAUGCAAGAGGGGAUGCAGUACUUUCAUAUGCUACAAAACUUUGGCUCAUCAGUUUCAGCACUGAAACACUGGAGUAGGCCGAAGAGUCAGACCUAGUCUGAAAACAUGAGCAGUCGUCGAACUUUGACGUGGCAGAGCUCUCUCUACAAAAACCUGUUUAUGGCUCUGCAAGUGGGGAAUUCAAGAGGGGAUGUAGUAGUUCUAGACAAUGUGAAAAGUUACCCCACCAGCUUCAGCAUCGAAACACUGUAGUAGGCAGAAAAGCCAGACUUGAGCUAGAAAACAGGAGCAAAUAUAGAACUUCACCGUGGCAGAGCUCUCUCUGCAGAAACCUGUUUGUAGAUCUGCAAGUGGAGAAUCCAAGAAGGGAUGCAGUAGUUUCUGAUCAUCUAUAAUUUUCUCUCAUCGGUGUUAGCUUGAAAAUGCAAAAGAAGGGAAAAGAGACAAACCUCGGCUGAAAAAUAGAAAGAAGAUUGAAACUUCAACAGAGCAGAGCUCCCUCUACAGGUGUCUGUUUGCUGCACCAUCAGUGAGGAAUCAAAGAGGAGACAAAGGAGUUUCAGAUUCAUCAGUUUCUCCUCCAAUAAAAACAAUGCACAUUUCAUGCAGUGACAGUGAUAGCGCUGCAUGAUUCUAUGCGCUGGCAAGAUUACCUAGCUGUUGGAAGGUUUCCAACAAUCCACAAAGGACCACAACAACAUUGGAAGAAUGACAUGAUGUUGUGAAGAUCAUCAAAAGAAUUGAGCUAGCUGUCAAGAUGGGAAAGAUUGAAGGAUCUGCCAUGGAUUCCAGAACUGUGAAGAGAUGAAUCAGGAGAUGACUCUGAAAACGGGAAACCAUAGUUAUGUGGUUUAGUCAAGUCUCACUGUAGCACCAGCUACUCAAGUGUCGUUGCCAAGAUUGACAUCUUUCUGCCACCCAAGUUGGACUACUAGCAUCUGUCAGAUUCCAGACUUUUUGCCUAACUCUGUUAAAUCCCAUGCAACCACUGUUUCUUAUGUGAUCCAAACAAGAGAUUUGAAUAUCAUGGGGGGAUUUCAGGCCAUUCAGUUGAAUAAUUGCAAGAAUCGAGUCCGCAAAUUGGUGAGCAAAAGACGAGAGGAAUCUGUGAAGGAGCUUGUCAUCGAUCAUUUUAUCGCCAGAACAUCCUCAGAAUGACGAGUGAUCGAAAUUGCUCGGUAAACACAGAUAUUGCCAGAAUAGUUGAUCCAAGAAGGGCGUUGAACUGUCAAUCAUGUUGUUAUGGAAUUUUUGCCAUUCUGCAUUUUGUUUUGGGGUCACAUCUCAUCCUUGAACGAAACAUGUCUUUUCUUUGUCUUUUUGUUGUUUUGAAAUCAAGAGAUGCUUCUUUCAAAGGGUAUUUUGACAAAAAUAUUUUUUUGAUCAAACUCCAACAUACAAAAUUAAAGCUAGUCAAUCCUGAAGAUUAAAAGUGUUUUGAUUGCGGAAAUGACUUGAUGCUUGAAAAGGACAUGAGGUGACCAAACAAUUUUGAACUCAUAUCUCCUGAAACUGAACAACACAUCAUAUAACUAAGUUUUAGCAGUAUGCAUAAUGACAUGUAGUGGAUUCGGUAGUUAUGGACUCGUGAAUCAUGACUCUUACAAGUCCAAAUCAUUACACUAGAUGAGGUCAAAAUUUAUCGAUUCUAACCGACUUUGCUUGAAAUGAGAAAAGGCCAUCUUCGAUAUCCCUUCACUUUCUAAAGAUUAUAUCCCUUGCAGUCCUAUUUUGAGCCUGGUAAAAUAUUCUCUUUCAAAAAGAAACCUUGACUAGGAUCACACCCCACACUGGGGGCAAUGAGAGAUAUGUUAUUAGGAAGGAUGAAGACACUGAUAGAAUCAAUGAUAAAAGAAAGGCUUAGAAUAAAAGCCCAAUGAUUGAGAAAGGGAGAACAAGAAAAGCCAUAGAUUGAGGGUCAUCCAAGAAAACUUUGAGGAAGGUUAUGUAAAAGCAAAAAAAAAAAAAAAAGGUGGAAAUGAAGGAGAAUGCCUAUCAAUUCUAAGAGGGGCAAAAAAGGUUUCAAUGGAAGAAAGACACAACAAAUGUCAAAAGUCAACACCAAAAAAAUCAAGUUUCAUGUCUUUUGGUGUGUCUAGGAUAAAGCCUUUAGUGUCUUCAAAAUUUUUUAGAUUCAUUAUUCAUCAGAGAUAAAGUUGGAUUAGCAUUAUGACCUAUGUUAAGAGAAUUCUGAUAUUUGAGAUAAACAAGGUUAUAUAUCACUUUCUCUACUAUGACAACAAGAGAAAGAGAGUUGAUGAAUAGUUGAUGUUGAUCUUAGGUCUUUGAAACCCUCAAACACCUAUUGAGCUUUGAAAAUUCCUUUCUUUCAUAGCCAUGAACCAUAGCCUACAUUACGUGCUCUUAAAAGCCCUUUUUAAUCAAGUAAACAAUUUGAACCGAUAAAUGGCGCUCUAAAAAACUUGAAGAGUUGUUCUAUAAGGGUCGUGACUUCAUGGAUUAAGCUACUGGUUAUUAUGCAUGCUGAUAAAAUUGAUGCUAAAAAAAAAAGAAAACAAUCUUUCUUGAUGAAUCCUCAAGUUUUGACUUGAGCCUUUUGUUUCUUGAAAUUCACAGAAGGUCACCUCAUCGCAGACCAUCAAAAGAUAUACCCAAGAUCAAAGAUUAAAACUGACAAAGAACCAUGAAAAAAAACCAUUUUAGUCUUACAACGGGUCAAUUUCUGUUUUCAAAAUACAUGACAAUCAAAGGACUGUAUAUUUCGAAUAACGUGUGUUGGAUCUUUGGCCGAAGAAACUUGAUUUUCAAAAACUAACAUCUCUCUGAUUUCAUUUCAACAACUAGACUUUGAAUUGACAUGAUCUUUGAAAUAUGAGAGUUGAUUCCAGAACAAGAAAGAUUGUUAAACAACAAGAACAUCGACCGAAUUUGCAAAAUCCUUGACAAGAAUGACAACAACAUUUCUCGACACUCCUUGAAAAGUUGACUGCUUGGAGGUAAUACAGUGGAUCAUGGGUAGGAAAACAAACAGUAUUCAGAUCAGCUGGGGGCAAUGAAAGAUGAUCAAAGGAUGAAUCAAUGCACUGAGGACAAUGGUGUUUAAAGAAAGCUAAUCAGCAGAACAAGCACAUUCAGAUCAUUACUCGGGGCAAUGUUGUUCAAAGACAGUCAGUGAUUUAGUGAACUUCAGCAGCAAUUGAUGAGCAACGCUGCACUUGAAGGGCAUUUUAUUAUCUUCAUCUUGGGGUUACCCUUUGAAACAUGGCUAUGACAGAUGUUAUCUCAUAGUUGCAUUAGAAUGAAUGUCAGAAAGAUGCACACCACCAAGACUGACUGUGGGACCAUCUAUUCUGAAGCUCAAAUGCGCACUUCACCGCAUGAAUAUGGGUGAUGAACAUCAUUGAUGAUGCCAACACAUUUCCUUUCAUGAUCUGAUUUGACAAGCUGAGAAGAAUCCAUGGAGAAGAACAUUGAGCUUACAACGAUGAGCCUUUUUUACUGCAAGAGGAUAAUUCUUAGAAGGAUCCAGGAGAGAAAAUCCUUCACGAUGAAUCAAGCAACACCACACUUGGGGGCAGAGUCAAGUGAUAAACAGCAAGAGCAGUAACCGUCGAAGACAGCCCAGGAUGUGCACUGCACUUACAACUGAGGGGAUGGCUAGCACAUGAAUGAGCCAAUGCAUCGAAAGAACCAAUAAAGCUUUGGAAUGCAAACAAAGGCACCCUAUAACGAUGGAUCAUCAAAGGGAGGGGCCUAUAUUUCACAUCAGGUAAGGAUGCAUGCAUGUCAUCUAACCUCAAAGCAUUGCACAUACUUGUGAUUUGUUACAGAAAGAUCCUCAAUGAAGUCCAGCAAGAUUAUGGACAAAGAAAGAAUCAUUGAGUCGAUAAUAACAGAGAAUCAUGGUUGUGACCUUGAAACGGGAAGAAGAUGAGAUAAACCUUACUGUUAGGAAAAUCUCAAAGAAAUGAAAAGAUCAACCUUGCAAUCAGAAAGCAUCGAGUUUUCAAACCCUGCGAUCAAGAAUUAUCAAGAAGCACCAAGUUUUCUGCCCUUCUUCUAUCAUCCCUUCAGGACUUCGCCAGGUAAGUCCCAUUUUUCACACUUGUCACAUCACAUCUUUCAUUUGGGUAGGUCACCCAUAACAAUGAGACCAUUUCAUAUUUUUUCUAUCCUCCACCUGGGUAGGUCACCCAUUACAAUGAGACCACUUCAUAUUUUUUCUAUCCUCCACCUGGGUAGGUCACCCAUAACAAUGAGACCACUUCACAUUUUUUCUAUCUUCCACUUGGGUAGGUCACCCAUAACAAUGAGACCACUUCAUAUUUUUUAUAUCCUCCAUCUGGGUAGGUCACCCAUUACAAUGAGACCACUUCAUAUUUUUUCUAUCCUCCACCUGGGUAGGUCACCCAUAACAAUGAGACCACUUCAUAUUUGUUCUAUCUUCCAUCUGGGUAGGUCACCCAUUAUAACGCGACCACUUCACUUUUUUUCUAUCUUCCACCUGGGUAGGUCACCCAUUAUAACACGACCACUUCACAUUUUUUCUAUCUUCCACCUGGGUAGGUCACCCAUUAUAAUGAGACCGCACUUCACAUUCUUUCCGUUUGGGUAGGUCACCCAUCAUAAUGAGACCAUUUUCCAUCAUUUUUUCUUGGGUUCGUCACCCAUACAAUGAGACCAUCAUUUUUUUCUUGGGUUCGUCACCCAUACAAUGAGACCAUCAUUUUUUUCUUGGGUUAGUCACCCAUACAAUGAGACCAUCAUUUUUCUGGGGUUCGUCACCCAUACAAUGAGACCACCAUUUUUCUUGAGUUCGUCACCCAUACAAUGAGACCACCAUUUUUCUUGGGUUCGUCACCCAUACAAUGAGACCAUCAUUUUUCUGGGGUUCGUCACCCAUACAAUGAGACCAUCAUUUUUCUGGGGUUCGUCACCCAUACAAUGAGACCAUCAGUUUUCUUGGGUUCGUCACCCAUACAAUGAGACCAUUUGUUCCACAUUCUUUGUUUUGGUUUAAUGAGGUCGCCAGAUGGGAUCUCAUGUAGCUUUGGUUAAAGGGAAUCGCCAGAUGGGAUUUCAGGUUAACCGAGUUACGUAACAUCUUUUAGUUUUGGUUUAAUGAGGUCGCCAGAUGGGAUCUCAUGUAGCUUUGGUUAAAGGGAAUCGCCAGAUGGGAUUUCAGGUUGACCGAGCUACCACACAUUUUUUUAGUUCCAGUUGAAUGAGGUUGCCAGAUGGAAUCUCAUGUAGCUUUGGUUAAAGGGAAUCGCCAGAUGGGAUUUCAGGUUGACCGAGCUACCACACAUUUUUAAGUUCAAAUUGAAUGAGGUCGCCAGAUGGGAUCUCAUGUAGCUUUGGUUAAAGGGAAUCGCCAGAUGGGAUUUCAGGUUGACCGAGCUACCACACAUUUUUUAGUUCCAGUUGAAUGAGGUCGCCAGAUGGGAUCUCAUGUAGCUUUGGUUAAAGGGAAUCGCCAGAUGGGAUUUCAGGUUGACCGAGCUACACACAUUCUUUGGUUUUGAAAAAGGAGAUCGCCAGAUGGGAUCUCAAGUUAACAAAAAAAAAAAAAGGAAAGAAACAUUUAGAGUUUUUCUUUACAAAGCUUACUAUGCGAAACAUUGAGGAGUUUUGCUUCGUAAGCAUUGUAAAGAGGGGGCAUCUGUUGCUACCCAAUUUUUGACCCAUGUUUUGAUAAAUUUUUAAAAAAAUUCAAAAAUAGCGAAAAACAUUGAAAACCCAAAAAAUACAUUUUUUAUAUAUUUGCAUCGUUUUUAGCAUUUUCAGCGUCGUCUAAAAAGAAUUUAAAUUUUCAAAGGUCUUUCGAACGCGUUCAACUUUUAACGCGUUAAUUUUAAAAUCAUUGAUUUUCCUCAUUGAGUCGACGUUGAUAUUGCUCGUUUUCAAAAAUACAAAAAAAUUAAAGAAAAUCAAAUUUAAAAAAAAAAAAGAAAGUUGAGGAAUCAAGUUUGAGGUCCAAACAAUAUUUUGCGGAAUUUUAAAUAUCAGAGGGGGAGGCAACCAGCCGCUCCCCCUGGCCCAAGACCAUUGGAUCCCUCUCUUUCGGCUGAAAAGCAGGAACUCAGCUCCCCACUUCUUUUCCUUUUUUCCAGCCGACAACAGGCCCUCCUCACAAGGAGGAACCCCUAUUUCUUGUCAUCUCCAGCUACACACCAGAGGGGGGGGAUAGUCCCAGAUUUUUCUUCUUCCUGACAGCCGUGGGCAGGGGCCCACGGCUCCCCAAUCUCACUUCCUUCUCUCACAGCCAUCAUCAGCCCUGCCCCUCUCAUCGCCAUUUCCCCUGCCAUUUCAGCCUUCCACCUCUGCCUCUCCACCCUCACAGCAGACCAGCCACAAGCCUCACGUCUGCCCCUGACAUCUCCCCCCUGGAUUUUCUUCUCUACUCCCUCAACUGCACAGCCGGCCCUUUCCCCUUGAUUUUUUUCCUCUCAUCUUCUUCCCCUCAGCAGCCGGCACAAACAGCAGCCCAGCCCUCCUAGACCCAUAUAGACCCAGCACCAGCUCCCACAGCACCGUUUCCCUCCAGCUUCUUCACCCAAAACCAUCCUUCCAUCUCCAAUUUUCUGCCCACUCAAGACAGCCCCUCACCUCCUCUCUUACUCCGAUCUUCACUCAUCAAUCGGCCAUAGACCAACAACAGCCACGAAUUAGCUCCCCCUUCCACAGAUCCUCUCUCUCAGCUGCUCCCUUCUCCAGCCGCAGCGGCGCCUUCUUCAUCCGGCAGCACCCAGCAGAGCCUUCCUUCUCCAGCUCCUCCCUCACAAAUCGCCCUGCAGCCGACAUCCAGCAGCGAGACCCAAGACCAACAGCAGCGAAGGAAGACCAUCAACGCCGGCCCCCAGCGGUGGCAGCAGCAGCAGCAUCGCCCACAGGCGCGGAGUAGUCCGCCUUCUCCCUCCGGUGGCACCUGCAGUUUCGGUUUCCUCAACUCUCUCCUCCUGAACCAGCGGCCAGCUCGCCGCCUCUAGCAGCAACACCACUCUCUCGUCUGUUCCUCCUUGCCGCUCCAGCACAUGGAGCAGAGGAGAAGAAGAGGAUGACCGAAGGAGACCGAUCUGCAGUGAAGCAGAUCCAAAGAACCCGAACGAACCAGAUUUGAAAAGGGGAAAGGAAGGGAAGCCGAUCUGAAAACAAGAUUAAAACAGACUUGCUUGUUGCGUUUUGUUGUUUUGCAGGUAACGGCGUUGUCGCCGCCGGCAAGGAAGAGAAGAGGGGAGAAAGCCAUUUCUGGCCCCCCUGUUUCUGGUUUGAUUUCACGGCGGCGCGUGGACCCACGCGCCGCCAGCGGCGGUGGUGCGUGAGAUCCACGCGCCGCCACUGUCCUUGCUGUUCCAGAGGUCUUCACAGCACUAUUCCAGCGACUCAGAGGUUACCAGCACUGUCCCGGAUUGUUUUGGGUCAUUUUUUGGAAUUUUAGAAUUGUUUAAUGUUAUAUUUGUGUAAUUUUGAGUUUUUCUUUUCAUAGUUUGUAUUUUAUAUUUUAUGUAAAUGUGGAUGUAGAAGAAAAGAAAGAAAAGAAAAGAAAAAGAAAUGUUUGUGUGUGUUUGUUUUUUUUUUAUUUAUAUUAUUGAAUUAAAAAAAAAAAAGGACAAAAAGAAUUAAUUGUUAAUUUAAAUAUGCACAAAUAUCUAAAGGAC
Molecule: long non-coding RNA, 10181 nt
Filed under: Populus trichocarpa (black cottonwood)
Lineage: Eukaryota; Viridiplantae; Streptophyta; Magnoliopsida; Malpighiales; Salicaceae
Description: long non-coding RNA (PTRI_LNC002485)
Source: RNAcentral